RNAcentral lists this ribosomal RNA (253 nucleotides) under uncultured bacterium. RNAcentral's name for it is "partial 16S ribosomal RNA". It matches the Rfam family "Bacterial small subunit ribosomal RNA", at positions 524 to 776 of the family's 1533-position model. The record is from RNAcentral.
UACGUAGGGGGCGAGCGUUGUCCGAAUUCACUGGGCGUAAAGCGCGCGUAGGCGGACUUUUAAGUUGUGGGUGAAAUGCCGAGGCUCAACCUCGGAACUGCCUGCAAAACUGGGAGUCUUGAGGUAUGGAGAGGGAAGUGGAAUUCCAGGUGUAGCGGUGAAAUGCGUAGAUAUCUGGAGGAACACCCGUGGCGAAGGCGGCUUCCUGGCCAUAUCCUGACGCUGAGGUGCGAAAGCUAGGGGAGCGAACGGG